GCCAACGUAGCUUAUUCAAAGCAUAACACUGAAGAUGUUAAGAUGGGCCUUAAACUGGCUUCGGGGGCA
RNAcentral lists this transfer RNA (69 nucleotides) under Sillago parvisquamis (small-scale sillago). Its description in RNAcentral is "tRNA-Phe". It matches the Rfam family "tRNA". From Rfam's summary of the family: Transfer RNA (tRNA) molecules are approximately 80 nucleotides in length. The record is from RNAcentral. Lineage: Eukaryota; Metazoa; Chordata; Actinopteri; Sillaginidae.